This 160-nucleotide microRNA precursor is filed under the name Prunus persica (peach). Its description in RNAcentral is "miR6281 stem-loop (ppe-MIR6281)". Lineage: Eukaryota; Viridiplantae; Streptophyta; Magnoliopsida; Rosales; Rosaceae. The record is from miRBase by way of RNAcentral.
AAGGAGGUCGAGUGUUAGAGAUAGAGAGAGUGAGUGAGAGACUAACAGUCGAUAUAGAGUGAUGGCGGUGGUGUGAGGCGUAGAACUAAGAGAGUGAUGGCGGUGGUGCGAGACUGUCAGUCUCUCAUUCACUCUCUCUGUCUCUGAUGCUCAAUCUCUU